GGCGAACGGGUGAGUAACACGUGGGCAAUCUGCCCUUCACUCUGGGACAAGCCCUGGAAACGGGGUCUAAUACCGGAUAUCACUCUCGCAGGCAUCUGUGAGGGUCGAAAGCUCCGGCGGUGAAGGAUGAGCCCGCGGCCUAUCAGCUUGUUGGUGAGGUAAUGGCUCACCAAGGCGACGACGGGUAGCCGGCCUGAGAGGGCGACCGGCCACACUGGGACUGAGACACGGCCCAGACUCCUACGGGAGGCAGCAGUGGGGAAUAUUGCACAAUGGGCGAAAGCCUGAUGCAGCGACGCCGCGUGAGGGAUGACGGCCUUCGGGUUGUAAACCUCUUUCAGCAGGGAAGAAGCGAAAGUGACGGUACCUGCAGAAGAAGCGCCGGCUAACUACGUGCCAGCAGCCGCGGUAAUACGUAGGGCGCAAGCGUUGUCCGGAAUUAUUGGGCGUAAAGAGCUCGUAGGCGGUCUGUCACGUCGGAUGUGAAAGCCCGGGGCUUAACCCCGGGUCUGCAUUCGAUACGGGCAGACUAGAGUGUGGUAGGGGAGAUCGGAAUUCCUGGUGUAGCGGUGAAAUGCGCAGAUAUCAGGAGGAACACCGGUGGCGAAGGCGGAUCUCUGGGCCAUUACUGACGCUGAGGAGCGAAAGCGUGGGGAGCGAACAGGAUUAGAUACCCUGGUAGUCCACGCCGUAAACGGUGGGAACUAGGUGUUGGCGACAUUCCACGUCGUCGGUGCCGCAGCUAACGCAUUAAGUUCCCCGCCUGGGGAGUACGGCCGCAAGGCUAAAACUCAAAGGAAUUGACGGGGGCCCGCACAAGCAGCGGAGCAUGUGGCUUAAUUCGACGCAACGCGAAGAACCUUACCAAGGCUUGACAUACACCGGAAACGUCUGGAGACAGGCGCCCCCUUGUGGUCGGUGUACAGGUGGUGCAUGGCUG
RNAcentral lists this ribosomal RNA (940 nucleotides) under Streptomyces galbus. RNAcentral's name for it is "bacterial SSU rRNA". It matches the Rfam family "Bacterial small subunit ribosomal RNA", at positions 97 to 1051 of the family's 1533-position model. Lineage: Bacteria; Bacillati; Actinomycetota; Actinomycetes; Kitasatosporales; Streptomycetaceae. The record is from RNAcentral.